Long non-coding RNA from Fukomys damarensis (Damara mole-rat), 325 nucleotides. RefSeq lists it as uncharacterized. The record is from RefSeq and is a predicted model, not a curated record. The transcript has 4 exons. NCBI's taxonomy places the organism in Eukaryota, Metazoa, Chordata, Mammalia, Rodentia, Bathyergidae.
AAAAAGGGAACCUCUCCAGAAUUUGCCGUUCUUUGUUCUCAGAUUUCCAGCCCUUAGGAUUACAAGAAGUUGUUAUCUGUUGGGAGAGGGUGACAAAGCCAAGGAUCCAGGAAUCGUGUCUGAGGUCACAACAAAGAAUGCCUUAGUACUGUGAUUAAAAUAGCGGGAAACUGAGGCAUAGAGUGUGUAUAACUUGUGGAUGGUCAUGUCACUGCACGCCUUACUCUGGCUGCUACAGAUGCUGCUGCCAGUGUCUGGGCAGAGAGACAUUCUUCACGGAGGGUGAGGACCAGGGACAGUAAGAGGAAGAACCCCCAGGAGAUGA